Nicotiana attenuata is the source of this 1037-nucleotide long non-coding RNA. RefSeq lists it as uncharacterized. NCBI's taxonomy places the organism in Eukaryota, Viridiplantae, Streptophyta, Magnoliopsida, Solanales, Solanaceae. The record is from RefSeq and is a predicted model, not a curated record. The transcript is spliced from 3 exons.
GUUCCUUCUUAAUCUUUUUUCUUAAUUCUCUCUCAUAGUGUUCCUCAUCUCAAUUCUCUUUCUAUGCUCUGUUUUUAUUGUCUUCUUUCAUUAUAGUAUUUCCUUGAGCUCUUGAUUUCACUUGUUUCUUUCUUUAUGCCAUCUCAGAUUUCUGGAUAACUAUUUCUGCAAUUUUCGGCCUUUUCCAUCUCUCCAUCGGUCCCGCUUUCCACCAAAGAGAUUGGGAGGUGGAACCCAAAAAGGAUGUAAAUGGAGGAGUUUGUUUAAAAGUGCCGAUAACCUUCAAUUCAUAAUUUCUCUGGGGAAAAAACAUACUAAAUCCCCCCCCCCCCCCCCAAUUUGUUCCAUUAAAAACCUAGCUCUAAAAUUAUCCAAAUAUUUUUCUUGUGAUUAUAUAUAAAUCCGUCUUUAAUUCAGUUUUAUUUUCAUGAAUUUAAGGUAAAGCUCAAUUAUUUAAUGUUUUUACCCCAUCCGGGAGGAUUGUAUUUUAACGUUUUAGUUAAUGAACUUUCGUCAGAUUUCAUUGAUAUUUUUCUGCUUUCGAGCAGCUACAUUUAUUUGGAGGUUCGUGUUGUUCCUCUGCCUCUUAUCGACAAGUCCUACUGAUCAUUUUUUUUAUCUUCGUCACUAUGCUUUCAGGAAUUGCAAUGUUGGGUUCAAGCUCUCACUCUCCGAGAUAAGAUCUCUUCAAGGAUAGUAUUGUUAGGAUCUGCUUUAACGUGCAUUUUAUGCAAUCCUUCAGCUGUAAUGAAUUUUUUCAAGGUAAGAAGGCUAAGGAGAUGUCUAAAGACUAAGAAAAAGACUAAACACAGCACGAAAGGCGCAUAAUUGUUUGCUGAUAUUUAAAUCGUAUAAAAUAUUUCAAAGAAUGCGACACUUUAGCAUCUAGUCGUUUAAUGAUGCUACUGAUGUAAAGAAUGUGUCGUUUGCCAAUCAUAUAAUAUCCGUGAGUGUUAUAUUUAGCUGAUGCUAAAUUAUGUCUAUCAAUAAUUGUCAUCAAAAUAAUGUUAAAUAACAUAUAACAGUUCAAACUUUCA